This is an unclassified non-coding RNA of Macaca fascicularis (crab-eating macaque), 147 nucleotides long. It matches the Rfam family "Metazoan signal recognition particle RNA". From Rfam's summary of the family: The signal recognition particle (SRP) is a universally conserved ribonucleoprotein. It is involved in the co-translational targeting of proteins to membranes. NCBI's taxonomy places the organism in Eukaryota, Metazoa, Chordata, Mammalia, Primates, Cercopithecidae. The record is from Ensembl.
GCUGGGCAUGGUGGCUCACGCCUGUAAUCCCAGCUACUUGGGAGGCUGAGGCAGGAGGAUAGCUUGAGCCCAGGAGGUCGAGGCUGCAGUGAGCCAUUAUCACGCAUUGCACUCCCGUCUGGCCAACAGAGUGAGACCCUGUCUCAA